GACAGGAGGGAAAGGGUCCUCUGCUUCAAUGGAAUAAAAACUGCGCAAUUUCUUGCUGGAGUGCCCAUCCACGGCUCGGAUCGCGCACGGCGGACCCCUCUGGAGGAUGGUCCACGGGUGGUGGUCGCUGCCUCGCUCUCGUUUAUUCAUCUCAGUUGCCAGCCCAGAGGAGGAAGCGAUCACUCAGAAAAGGCGAUACGACCAUGCAGAGGUGCAACACAUGCAGACGCGUUUGCUGUGUGUGUUUUUUUUUAUCUCUCCGCUGCACCUGAAGCUGCGUCUCGAUGCUGGAUUUGGGGAUCUGUACGUGUUUUUUUAUUAUUAUUAUUUUUUUUAUGACAGAGGAAGGGGAGAAGGUUUUUUUUUUUUUUUUUUUAGGGGGCUGCGUCAUCUUCGGAUGGGCAUGGAGAGGCACUGCUGUGCAGAACCUUCUCUGCUUUUCGCCGCUGAUUCCGGGAUUCGCGUGUGAAAGAAAAAGAAUCAGGAGAAUGAACCGACUCCUCAGGGCUGUGUUUGAGGAUCCUCCAGCGCCUGACUGAAGUCACCGAGUGAUGACUGAUGGCUGCCGACCGACCGAACGAGAUGGACGAGAUGCACGGCGACACCUGCAGCUGCAAAAGUCCUCCAUCGUCUUUAAAGAGACGGAGGGGGCGGGCCGAACCUGCAUCCGUCUGCGAGCGUACGGAGCGUUCCUGCUCAGAAUAAUGAAGAAAGUGCUGGAGUCCCC
Molecule: long non-coding RNA, 727 nt
Organism: Fundulus heteroclitus (mummichog)
Lineage: Eukaryota; Metazoa; Chordata; Actinopteri; Cyprinodontiformes; Fundulidae
Exons: 4
Source: RefSeq, a predicted model, not a curated record